Molecule: long non-coding RNA, 261 nt
Organism: Anneissia japonica
Lineage: Eukaryota; Metazoa; Echinodermata; Crinoidea; Comatulida; Comatulidae
Exons: 2
Source: RefSeq, a predicted model, not a curated record
CAUUGGCAAUGGUUUACUUAUAGAAAAGGACCAGCUCAUAGCCAUCACUCAGAUAAGCGAUGGGGCACGAGGCAAAUUCAAAAUUUGUUUGUUAUUGUUUCCGAUGCAUGAAGUGGUAGGGAAAUAAAAGUUAGGGAAGAAAAGCAAGGCACAUGUGGAACAUUGGUAGAGAAAGAGCGUUUGGAUCCCAUCUGAAUUACUGCCAUAACAGAUUUCCUGAGGCUUCAACUACUCUUUUGAGACAGUCUCUGCCAAACAGAA